RNAcentral lists this unclassified non-coding RNA (205 nucleotides) under plant metagenome. Its description in RNAcentral is "partial contains small subunit ribosomal RNA, internal transcribed spacer 1, and 5.8S ribosomal RNA". The record is from RNAcentral.
UCUCCGUAGGUGAACCUGCGGAGGGAUCAUUACUGAGUGAGGGCCUCUGGCCCGACCUCCAACCCUUUGAUGUCCGACUCUGCUGCCUCGGGGGCGACCCGGCCUUCGGGCCCGGGGCCCCCCGUGGUCCACUCAACUCUGCAUCUUUGCGUCUGAGUAAACAUUAAAUGAAACAAAACUUUCAACAACGGAUCUCUUGGUUCUG